RNAcentral lists this long non-coding RNA (833 nucleotides) under Homo sapiens (human). RNAcentral's name for it is "HSALNT0379756". Lineage: Eukaryota; Metazoa; Chordata; Mammalia; Primates; Hominidae. The record is from RNAcentral.
UCCUUCCCGUUUGUCUCCUGGAUCUGUGUUUGCCCACACAAGGGAGUACUUAAGAAGCAUUGGCAGGCUUCUGGGAAGCAGUUUGUCCUUGCUUUGAGCUAUGAAAUCGUCUGUCUCAUGAAUAUGCAAAUAACCUGAGAUGCACUGAGGUAAAUAUGGAUGUGUCUGUGCCCUAAGCGCAUCAUCCAACAACCACAUGCCUCUUCUGCAGAAUCUCCUUAGAGCUCAGUGCCUCACCGUGGACUGGACCUGGAGGAACAUCUUGGUGGCAGCAGCUACAGGUGCGCACUCUCAGGACCAGUUGGUGCAGUCUGGGGCUGAGGUGAAGAAGCCUCUGUCCUCAGUGAAGGUCUCCUUCAAGGCUUCUGGAUACACCUUCACCAACAACUUUAUGCACUGGGUGUGACAGGCCCCUGGACAAGGACUUGAGUGGAUGGGAUGGAUCAAUGCUGGCAAUGGUAACACAACAUAUGCACAGAAGUUCCAGGGCAGAGUCACCAUAACCAGGGACACGUCCAUGAGCACAGCCUACACGGAGCUGAGCAGCCUGAGAUCUGAGGACAUGGCCGUGUAUUACUGUGCGAGAGACACAGAGUGAAAACCCACAUCCUGAGAGUGUCAGAAACCCCAGGGAGGAGGCAGCUGUGCUGGCAUGGAGGAGAUGACAAAGAUUAUUAGAUUGAAGACUUUCUCAGAAAAUAACAUUAAGUCACUAAAGAAAAGGAACAAUAUAAAUGUGUAUUUGAGAAAUUUUAAUUAUUUGAAAGAUUUUUCAUACAACAUUUAUUCUGUAAGCAAAUUUCAGGGAUUGAAUUAAUAAAACUGAUACAGAA